UACGUAGGAGGCAAGCGUUGUCCGGAAUUACUGGCGUAAAGCGCGUGUAGGUGGUGGGACAAGUCUGCUGUGAAAGCGCCUGGCUUAACCGGGCGAGGUCGGCGGAAACUGUCCGACUCGAGGACGGUAGAGGGGGGUGGAAUUCCCGGUGUAGUGGUGAAAUGCGUAGAGAUCGGGAGGAACACCUGUGGCGAAGGCGGCCCCCUGGGCCGGCCCUGACACUGAGACGCGAAGGCGUGGGGAGCGAACGGG
Molecule: ribosomal RNA, 252 nt
Filed under: uncultured bacterium
Lineage: Bacteria
Description: partial 16S ribosomal RNA
Rfam family: Bacterial small subunit ribosomal RNA
Source: RNAcentral